This 255-nucleotide ribosomal RNA is filed under the name uncultured bacterium. Its description in RNAcentral is "partial 16S ribosomal RNA". It matches the Rfam family "Bacterial small subunit ribosomal RNA", at positions 524 to 776 of the family's 1533-position model. The record is from RNAcentral.
UACGUAGGGCGCAAGCGUUUAUCCGGAAUUAUUGGGCGUAAAGAGCUCGUAGGCGGUUUGUCGCGUCUGCCGUGAAAGUCCGGGCUCAACUCCGGAUCUGCGGUGGGUACGGGCAGACUAGAGUGAUGUAGGGGAGACUGGAAUUCCUGGUGUAGCGGUGAAAUGCGCAGAUAUCAGGAGGAACACCGAUGGCGAAGGCAGGUCUCUGGGCAUUAAACUGACGCUGGAGGAGCGAAAGCAUGGGGAGCGAACAGG